This is a non-coding RNA of Girardinichthys multiradiatus, 753 nucleotides long. NCBI's taxonomy places the organism in Eukaryota, Metazoa, Chordata, Actinopteri, Cyprinodontiformes, Goodeidae. The record is from the annotation of a RefSeq genome assembly.
UUGACCUCAAAUAUUAUAGGAGGGUUAACUCUAUGGGCAGUAAACCAUAUUAUUUUCAUCAUGAUUUCAUCUAGAAAAGCAGUAAAAAGGUGAAUCAAAGGAGGCUGAACACCUUCUAGAGUCAAUGAAAUCCUCCAGAUGAUCUGUUCUUCAACCAGAAGAAGCUGAGAGCCUGCUCACCAGGAGGAAGAGGAGCUGAGAUGUUCAGGGAGGAGCUGAGAUGUUACUGAACUCUAGAAGAGACUCAAACUUCCUCAUUCAACACAGUUCAACACAUAAACAUCAACUCUGCUCAACAUGGACUAUUAUGGACUUUCUCUGCUCAUUGCUUCACUUCUAACAGGAGUCAGCUGUGAAGGACUCACUGCAGUCAAAGAUGAAGAGUUCAGGUCAGAAGGCAGCUCUGUUACUCUGUCCUACAGAUACUCCAAAAAAGCAGAUGGCACUGAUUAUUUCUUCUGGUAUCGACAAUAUCCUGGAAAACCUCCAGAGUUCCUGAUCUCUCACACUGGAACAGGAACCAAACUUCAGGAUCCAGUUCCUGGUUUCUCCUUUAAAGUGAGAGAUGAAAACAUCCAGAUGGACCUGCAGAUCAUCUCUGCUGCAGUGACAGAUUCUGCUGUGUACUACUGUGCUGUGAAGCCCACAGUGACAGGAAACACCAGAACUCUGUACAAGAACCUGCAGUACUCCACAUCAUCCACUAGAGGAACUAGAGGGGAAACCUCAGUGGGCGGCAGGAGUCGGCUGUGA